AGUGAACGCUGGCGGUAGGCCUAACACAUGCAAGUCGAACGGCAGCACAGUAAGAGCUUGCUCUUACGGGUGGCGAGUGGCGGACGGGUGAGGAAUACAUCGGAAUCUACUUUUUCGUGGGGGAUAACGUAGGGAAACUUACGCUAAUACCGCAUACGACCUACGGGUGAAAGCAGGGGAUCUUCGGACCUUGCGCGAGUGAAUGAGCCGAUGUCGGAUUGGCUAGUUGGCGGGGUAAAGGCCCACCAAGGCGACGAUCCGUAGCUGGUCUGAGAGGAUGAUCAGCCACACUGGAACUGAGACACGGUCCAGACUCCUACGGGAGGCAGCAGUGGGGAAUAUUGGACAAUGGGCGAAAGCCUGAUCCAGCCAUACCGCGUGGGUGAUGAAGGCCUUCGGGUUGUAAAGCCCUUUUGUUGGGAAAGAAAAGCAGCAGGUUAAUACGCCGCUGUUCUGACGGUACCCAAAGAAUAAGCACCGGCUAACUUCGUG
This 492-nucleotide ribosomal RNA is filed under the name uncultured bacterium. RNAcentral describes it as "partial 16S ribosomal RNA". It matches the Rfam family "Bacterial small subunit ribosomal RNA", at positions 29 to 507 of the family's 1533-position model. The record is from RNAcentral.